GUCUAUGGUCAUACCACCCUGAACACACCCAAUCUCAUCUGAUCUCAGAAGCUCAGCAGGGUUGGACCUGGUUAGUACUCAGAAAUUUAGAGGGGAGGGAGAGAUAGAGGGAAAGAGACAGAGAUACUGCAGUCC
Molecule: ribosomal RNA, 135 nt
Organism: Erinaceus europaeus (western European hedgehog)
Lineage: Eukaryota; Metazoa; Chordata; Mammalia; Eulipotyphla; Erinaceidae
Source: Ensembl